GAUGAACGCUAGCGGGAGGCUUAACACAUGCAAGUCGAGGGGCAGCACUAGGGUAGCAAUACUCUGAUGGCGACCGGCAAACGGGUGAGUAACGCGUAUGCAACCUACCCUGUACAGGGGGAUAACCCGGAGAAAUUCGGACUAAUAUCCCGUAAUAAUAUCCGGAGGCAUCUUUGGAUAUUUAAAGUUCCGACGGUACGGGAUGGGCAUGCGUAACACUUAGCUGGUUGGUAAGGUAACGGCUUACCAAGGCUAUGAUGUUUAGGGGUCCUGAGAGGGUGGUCCCCCACACUGGUACUGAGACACGGACCAGACUCCUACGGGAGGCAGCAGUGAGGAAUAUUGGUCAAUGGGCGCAAGCCUGAACCAGCCAUCCCGCGUGCAGGAAGACGGCCCUAUGGGUUGUAAACUGCUUUUCCAGGGAGAGAAACUUACGCACGUGUUGCGUGACUGACGGUACCCUGGGAAUAAGCAUCGGCUAACUCCGUGCCAGGCAGCCGCGGUAAACACGAGAGUA
This 517-nucleotide ribosomal RNA is filed under the name uncultured bacterium. RNAcentral's name for it is "bacterial SSU rRNA". It matches the Rfam family "Bacterial small subunit ribosomal RNA", at positions 28 to 533 of the family's 1533-position model. The record is from RNAcentral.